GUUAGAUGCAGUGGCGCACGCCUGUAAUCCCAACAGCUUGGGAGGCUGAGGCAGGAGGAUCGUGAGUUCAAAACCAGCCUCAGCAAUGGUGAGGCUCUAAGCAACUCAGUGAGACCCUGUCUCUA
Molecule: small RNA, 125 nt
Filed under: Marmota monax (woodchuck)
Lineage: Eukaryota; Metazoa; Chordata; Mammalia; Rodentia; Sciuridae
Source: RNAcentral